UGAAAUUAGUCAAAUGCAAAUAAGGACCCUGCGAGCUAGACGUGCGAUACACUCGCGAUUUGUGCAAGUGGAGGUGCAUUUUUUGCCUGAGAAGACGUAAAUAUCCUUUAAUUGAAAAUUUCUGAAAAUUACUAAUUCACCUCGGAAUUUUCAUAUGCCCAAAAAGAAAUUACAGAAUUUUCGAUUCAGUCCCUGUUAUUUUGAAAAAGACCCUCUCUUCAAUCUAAAACCCUUGGCCAAUCUCUUCGUCGGAUUAUCAAAACAAAGCCCCCAAAUAUUGACCCUUUAAAGAACAAAACAACUUCAUUUCAUUCUUCUCCAAUGGAUCCGCAAACAAAGGCUCAGAGACGAGGUAAUUUACCUUCAUUCCCUCUGGCACCAAGGUUCCGUUAGAGCAGCUGUUAUUGCCGCCGUCUCCCCCGCUGCGGCUGGAAUUCACCACGGCGGCGCUGCUGAUGAGACGAUUUUUUUGUUGCUGCUUUAUAUUGCUGCUUUGUGCUUGUGUGCGUGCGUCCAUGUUGCUGGGUUUUUUUGAGGAUUUUAUCGGGGAAUUUGUGACGAUUCAUUUUCAUAACCCUUCCUCUUCUUCUGAUCUCUUCUUCAACGGUGGGUUUAAAGUCGGAAUCAAGAGUCGGGUGAAUUAUCCAUGGCGGAUCGGGCCUUGAAGUCUCCUCUCCUCUCUCUCUCUCUCUCUCUCUCUCUCUCUCUCUCUCUCUCUCUCUCUCUCUCUCUCUCUCUCUCUCUCUCUCUCUCUCUCUCUCUCUCUCUCUCUCUCUCUCUCUCUCAUACACACACACACAAAAGGGAAGACACAUUACUGUGAUUAGAUCCGUAUGCAGAUUGUUAGUAGUAACUUCAUAUUUGAUUCUUGCAGGGUUUGUUUUGUGAAUUGGAUAAGGAAUGGAAUGAAAGAGAUGAAGAUUGGUCUGGGGCUAAUUCACGAUUAUUUUUCUUAAUUAAAAUUGAGGGUAGUUUUGUCAUUUCACGUGAGUCAACGAUCAAUUUCCAUGUAGGGGGCAGUGUGCUUCAUAAAAUAUAAUAUAGGGGGGUCGUCGCUAAUAUUUUUAACAUGAGGACUUUUUCGACAAUUCGAAAUUACACAGGGGGUUGUAUGCAAUUAACUCAUAUAUAUAUAUAUAUGUUUGGUAUUUAUGUGUAGUACAUGGGUAUAUGAUACGAAGAGCAUCGUACAGGGGUGUUUUUGUAUUUAAUCAUAUUAUUCAUUAGGUAAUAAGAAAUUACCACUUUUAAACUUUGAUCAAAGAGGAUUCAUUAACGUAUGAGGUAAUAUAAAUACGGCAUGCUCAUAAUUCCUAAGCCCAUUCCUUUUCUACUUCUCCUCCAUACCUGCAACUGUGCAACCCUUGUUUUUCCUCUUGCUUCUCUCCUCAAAUCAGAUUCGGAAUCUUCCAACUCCGGCGAUGGGUGACGGCAGUGGCGUAUCUAGUAUGGUGCAAGGGUGUGCAGCUGCACACCCUUGAUUUUAAAAAAAAUAUAUUUCCUAU
This 1505-nucleotide long non-coding RNA is filed under the name Erythranthe guttata (spotted monkey flower). RNAcentral describes it as "long non-coding RNA (EGUT_LNC002104)". The record is from RNAcentral. Lineage: Eukaryota; Viridiplantae; Streptophyta; Magnoliopsida; Lamiales; Phrymaceae.